RNAcentral lists this unclassified non-coding RNA (6217 nucleotides) under Portunus trituberculatus (swimming crab). RNAcentral's name for it is "protein madd-4-like, transcript variant X12". Lineage: Eukaryota; Metazoa; Arthropoda; Malacostraca; Decapoda; Portunidae. The record is from RNAcentral.
CUGGAGGGAGUGGAGGAAGGGAAGGAGGUUUGGUUGCAUGCGCGGUGGCCAGGGGAGGAGGGACUCACCUUGGGACUGGUGUUCUUCGGUGUCUGGCGGUGGCGGCGUGAGCAAGGUUCUGGAACGACCAGUGGUGGCUCGGACGACAACGACGAGGCAUCCGCAGAGGCCAGGCGGCAACACCACCACCACCACCACUGCCUCCACCACAGCAGCACCGACCGCGCGGCCCUUCAGUAGUGGCCGAGACGUCGGCGAGUGUGGACGGUUAGUGACGCGAUCGCCCUGUGACGACUCGACCCACUGACUCGCUCGCAUCGCGCACUGCCAGUCAUUCCCCUUGGGCUCACUCACGCCUCCUCUCCCGCGCGUCCUCAUGGCAGAAGUGACGCCUCGUUCUCGGGUCUGGCGGCGUAUGACCUGUGCCUCGAUCACUCUUUCAGGAUAAUUUCUUACCCCCGACGGGAACUCCUUCACUCCUUCCUUGGCGCCUCCUUCGGGGAAAAAGACUUGUCAAAAUCCGCGUAUUAAGUAUCGAGAGAGGCGACUUGCGGCGUGGGAGUCACCAUGGAGAGGCUGGCUGCUUCUCAACUGCCUCCGUGGUGAGUGUGGAAAGUGAGAGGCGACAAAAAAGGUGGAGAGAGAAGAAGGAAGCAAGGCGAUGGGUGGCAGUGAGGUAAGGUGUUGAUAUCUCACUCCCCACCGACCCCCAGCGCAGUACUCCCCACGUGGACACCCAAACCUCAACACCCCCGAACACUGAGCUGCCGUAAGGGACAUAACUGCUCUUCGGUGACAGGUGUGUGCAGGUGUGCUGGUGGUACAGUACCCAGGUGUCCCAGGUGUGUUUGUGCCAUUGUGCUUCAUGUGACGCUUUACAAAGGAGGAAGAAAAACACACUUUACACUGAACAGAAAGGACUAACUUAUGACCUUUCCCUUCGUCGUGUUCCAAAAACGGACAGUAAUUCCCGGUUUCACCUGCUGCGGGUGUCAAAACAAGAGACAAUCGACUUGAGCUUAAAUAUAGACUCGCCCCCACACAAGGUCAUAAUAUUCUCCCACUGAAAAUAAACUCUGAAUACAUUGACUGCUGGCGAACUUGCGCGUGCGUGACUCAGUGAUCUUUAGCACUUGCACUUGCCAGGAACUCAAGGGUCGCUCGUGCCUGACGGAGGAACAGAAACAAGGGAUCACUAAGCUGUGUUGACUUGAUCCACCUUCUACCGCCUCAUUUCUCCCGGCCUGCUUUCCUUCACUCCUCAAGUUUGGACUUAUGGCUGAGUGAGAGGCCGUGCAGGAAGCUACUCCCUCACCCUCACCCUCACCUCUUCCUUCUCUCUCCCUCCCUCACCCAAUCAUGAGAAGCCUGGCCUCCCUCCACUCGCUGCUCGCUCUCUCCGCUCUGGUCGUUGUCGUGACUGGAGCGGAGGUGGCGACGGACGACUCCACCGCACCUGAAGAUGACCCUGAUAGCGGCUGGUCUUCCUGGUCUGAUUGGUCUUUGUGUUCGAGGACUUGUGACGGAGGCGCCGCUGUGCAAACCCGCCGAUGUCUUCAUUACGCCGGCUGCCGAGGAGACUCCGUGAGGUACAAGUUAUGCAAUGUAGAGCCGUGCCCUGAAGGAAGCCGGGACUUUAGGGCCGUGCAGUGCUCUGAGUACGACGGGCUGCCCCACAACGGUGCCUCCUACGAGUGGGAGCCUGCGGAGGGGAACGACCCGUGUGCCCUGACCUGCCGCGCUAAGGGAGGAGGACCUGUAGUGACUCUGAACCCACGAGUGCAGGAUGGGACUCGCUGCACUCCGGGAUCCCUUGACCUGUGCAUUAAUGGAAGGUGUCAGAAAGUUGGCUGCGACCUCGUUUUGGGUUCACAGCGGGAGGUGGACAAGUGCGGCGUGUGCGGGGGCGACGGGAGCUCCUGCAACAAGCCUUCCUACAACUGGAACAAGCGUGCUAGUGGCUCCUGCUCGGCGUCCUGCGGUGGAGGCUAUCAGAUGCUGUCAGCGGUGUGUGAGGAGGAGAGCAGCGGCAGGCGGGUGUCAGAGGACCUGUGUGACCCCUCCUCCAGACCCGUGCCCGCCAUCCUCACCUGCAACCCACACGCCUGCCCUACCACGUGGCAGACGGGGGAGUGGGGCACCUGCUCAGUGUCCUGCGGCUCCGGCGGGUACCAGCUGCGUGAGGUGUUCUGUGCUGAGCCGAGGAACACGUCAGUAGUGCGCGUCGCCGACCACAACUGCGCCCCGCCCCGCCCACGCCACCGCCGCGGCUGUAACCCCCAUAAGUGCCCGAGAUGGUACGACGGCAUCUGGUCCGAGUGUUCGACAACGUGUGGUGACGGCGUGCAGACAAGAGUAGUCCUGUGCCGUGAUGCCGAGGGGCGCUCCUCCCAGCAGUGCGAGGACGCCCUACGCCCCACCAACACCCGCCCCUGCCGCAUCGGAGUAGCCUGUCCCCUGCCCUCUACACUGGCGCACCCCAGACACCAGCCCUACACACCCCCAUGGUGGCCGGAAGAGCAGGACGCCCUGGCCAGCGAGGAAGGGCCGGCGCCGCUCCUGCCUCGCCCACAGGCCUUCCUCGGAGGUCAGCAAGUGCCCUCAGAACCUACGUUCAUAAAUGGAAACUGGAGCUCUUGCAGCGUCACGUGCGGGGAGGGCGUCAGAACACGCUCCGUCACGUGCAAAAUCUUCCUGGAAUUCUCCCGUACCGUCGCUGAACUCCCGAAGAAACAGUGUCCCGGAGUGCGGCCGCCAGACACCCAGCGAUGCGUCAUGCCGCCCUGCCCAGACGCCAUGACCAGACAUGAAUCUCCUGACGGCGAGGUGAGCGACGCGGCACAUCACCGUCCUGUCAUCAAGCUGGAGGACGAAGACGAGGACAUGGACGAAAGUUCAAGCAGGGACAGGAGGAUCCAUGAGACGCCCUUCCUCCCACGCUUGGUCAAUGAAGACGAGGAGGAUAUGGAUGGAGCUCUGAAAACACCUAAGUCGAAGUCAUCAAAUCUAGAUACAGAAGUGCCACAAGCGCAAGCCUACAACGACCCACACCCGGGGCUGCACUCCUAUGAAGCCCCCGGUGAUACCAAGCCUCGUGGAGAUCCUGUUCUGCUCUACCCUGGCGAGUACACAUCCAUCGAUCUGUUUGACUCCUUGGAAGUCCCCCACGGCAGCAAGAGCUACUCGGCGACUCCUCAGCACAAGGAUAUGAAUUCAAUAGAGAUCGACGUGAGGAGGAGGAACGAGGAAUACCCAGGCUAUUACCACGUGACGGAUGAGGACGACGCCGGACCACACACCUACAAAUGGACUACCCUUGGCUUCGGUCUCUGCAGCGCUUCAUGUCUAGGCGGAGUACAAGAGUCAGUGGUUAAGUGUAUCAGAACUUCAGACAAAAAGAUCGUGCAGCCUCAGCUCUGUGACUCCCAGGUACGGCCAGAUGUCAUAACACGCACAUGCAACGACCAGCCUUGCCCUCCACGCUGGAACAUCUCUGAAUUCGGGCCGUGCAACAAGCCCUGCGGUGGAGGCAUACAGAGAAGGGACGUGAAGUGCAUUCAUGAAGUGACUCGAGGAGGAACUAACACUGUCGAGGUGCCAGACAGCUUGUGCCCACAGCCGCCCCACCGCGCCAUCCAGCACUGCAACUAUGUGGACUGCCUGCCAGAGUGGGUGGCCGGAAGCUGGUCCAACUGCUCUGCUUCAUGUGGUGGCGGCGUGAAGACCCGAACGCUUCAGUGUCAGCAGAUCAGGGCGCAGGGGCAGUCUGAGGAGCGGCCCGCAGAGGAGUGUCCCAGCGUGAAGCCGCGCAUCGUCAGGAAGUGCAAUCAGAGAGCCUGUCGCAUGGGGCGAGGAAACGCGAAAAAGGCAGUUAUCAAGUCACAGGAUUAUCAGGAUUUUGUUCAGAGCAAUCUGUCCAACAAGCUCACUCUGAAGGUUGGUGGCAAGGCGGCGGUGUUCAGGGGCGUCAAGCUGAAGGUGAAGUGCCCGGUCCGGAACUUCAACCGGUCCCUCAUCUCGUGGUGGCGUCACGGGCGGCGGGUGGGCAAGAGGGGUCCCAUCAGAACUACGCCGCGAGGGGUCCUCAAGAUCAGAGAAGUGCGCUUCCCCGACGCCGGAGUGUAUGUGUGCCAAGCCGGGGACUUGGAGGCCAACAUAACUCUUGUAGUCAAGCCAACAUCUCAAGCCAACGAGUCUUCAGGAGGCCAGUUUCCCUCCCACGGCAGGUCUCCCAACGAGGUUAGCCCUGGCAGGCAGUUUGUCAGGGGCUCUGCACACAGCUCUGCAGCAGAGUGGCCGGUGAGGAAGACCAAGUCUAACAAGGGAUCCCGAGGCAGGAGACGCAAGGGUCGGCGCCGGAACAAGGGCACCAAGGGUAAAGGACACAGAGGCUCCCAGGGACAGGGUAGCAUAGAGUCUGAGACAGCCCACCAGGAUGCCAUGCCCCCACACAGCCAACUGGAGCCAUUCAGAGAGGGACCAUUCAAGGCCUCCAGCAAAAACAUGCAUACUGUAGAGGUGAGCAGCAGUGAGGCAACUAACACAUAUGAUACCCCCUUGUGGCGCUCCACCACCAAGCAGGACUACGUGUAUGGCACCGUCAACCACGGCUGGCCUCUCACUGGCCGGCCACACCACAGCUCCACCGCCAAGGGCACCAGAGAGGAAAGGCCUCCUGUGUAUGGGACUGUCAAUCUCCACAGUAAUACUUCACGGAUCACCAGCGAGGAGAACCAAAUAGUGUAUGGCACGGUUCGGCACAACAUGCUGCCGGGAACGGAGCACUCUAGGAGAAGAAAAUGGGAUGAGGGGACACACAUCUUCGAGGGAAAUUCUAAUUAUCUUGAAAAGGACUCGGAUAUUUACCCUGACUACACAAGGCCAGAGUCAUCCGAGCACCACCCUCCCUCCUCCUCCUGGUCACGUCCCAGGCUGGGAUCUCAGUCCCACUUCAGCCAUGGUGACACCCAGAGCCCUGGUCACGACACAGACCGAAGACCCAAUCCUACCUCCGAUAGUACUCCCACUGUGCACUCCACCUCUACCACUUCCACUACCACCACCACCUCCACCACCCCGGACCACCACGGUCAUCAGCACCACAACCACCACAACCACCACCACCACCACAACAACCACCAUCUCCACCGCAUCCCCACUGGCACCCCUCAAAGGCGCCAUGAAGUCUCCCUUUCCCUGACCCCAGCACCCCCCAACACCAGCUCCGGAGGUUCCCGCACUGUUCCUCCCUUCCAGAAGCUUCUUUCCAACUUGGAGAGCUUCCUCCCGGCCUCCCUUCAGGGCACCAUCAGUUCCCGGGGUGCCAGACACAUGGACUCACCCAUGGACGAGUUCAACAACAGGAUGUCGUCUCACGGGUUUGUGCAGGAUGACAACACAACACGGGACCCACAUGGCAAAGGAGACAUUCUGGGCAAAGGAACAAGAGACUCACUGGAGUUUGAGUGGCAGAUGACUAAUUGGUCUGAGUGUUCUCAGACUUGUGGCUUCACCAGCAGCAGCAGUGGCUACCAGGUGAGGUCCAUCCAGUGCCUUGCCAGAGUGAAGAAUGUGACAUCACCAGUGGAUGGUGCUCUCUGUGUGGAUGCUGGCCUGGAGGCACCAGUCACCAUUCAGCGGUGUGGCUUUACAGAAUGCCCUCAGUGGCACUUUGGGGAGUGGUCAGAGUGUGAAUCUUCUCGCUGCUUCACUCUUCACUAUGCCUACCAGCGGCGGGAGGUGGUGUGUAAGCUUCACAAUGGUACCAUUGUUAGCAACCUGCAGUGUGACAACCGGACGCGGCCUCGGCACCGACAGGAGUGCUACAACUACCAGUGUUCAGGAGUGUGGCGUGUUGGUGACUGGUCAGAGUGCACCGCCCCGUGUGGAGGGCAGGGAUAUCGCACACGUCUUCUCCAGUGUGUGUGGAAUGGGACCAAGAAAGCUGCUGGGAAUGCCUGUAGAGAACUACCACGUCCUGAGGUGGUCCGCUGGUGCAAUGGUGACCCCUGCCCAGACCUCAGUAUGUAAUGUGAAGUGCUGGUCACCAAGUCAGGAACUCGGGCCAAGAGAGGUCGCCAGGUGAAGACGACAGCCAGGAAGUGAAGGGUUGUCGCGAUCGAAGCAAAUACUGCAACAUUGUGAAGAGGAUGAACAUGUGUCGCAUCCAGAGUUACCAACGGCAGUGUUGUCGGUCCUGUCCUCCCUAGCACACUCC